GGUUGCCUGGUGUAAUGGUUAGCACUCUUGGCUCUGAAUCCAGUGAUCCAAGUUCAAAUAUCAGUUGGACCU
Non-coding RNA from Danionella cerebrum, 72 nucleotides. Lineage: Eukaryota; Metazoa; Chordata; Actinopteri; Cypriniformes; Danionidae. The record is from the annotation of a GenBank genome assembly.